GGAUGUGAAGGCGAUCUGGCUGCGACAUCUGUCACCCCAUUAAUCGCCAGGGUUGAUUCAGCUGAUCUGGCUGGCUAGGCGGGUGUCCCCUUCCUCCCUCACUAUUCCAUGUGCAUCCCUCCCAAAGCUGCGCGCUCGGUUGAAGAGGACCACCCCCAAUAGAGGAGGACGUUUUCCUUGGUCAAGGAUAUACGAGUAGCUGUGCUCCCCUGCUAGAACCUUCAAACAAGCUCUCAAGAUUGAAUACAUCCACAGUAUGGGCAAGACAAAAGAAAUUUGGCACCAGAAAAUAUUUUCUUU
Molecule: unclassified non-coding RNA, 300 nt
Organism: Fukomys damarensis (Damara mole-rat)
Lineage: Eukaryota; Metazoa; Chordata; Mammalia; Rodentia; Bathyergidae
Gene: 7SK
Rfam family: 7SK RNA
About the family: 7SK was discovered as an abundant small nuclear RNA in the mid-70s but a possible function has only recently been suggested. Two independent studies have found that 7SK RNA binds the CDK9/cyclin T complex (known as elongation factor P-TEFb).
Source: Ensembl